This is a long non-coding RNA of Musca vetustissima, 195 nucleotides long. RefSeq lists it as uncharacterized. NCBI's taxonomy places the organism in Eukaryota, Metazoa, Arthropoda, Insecta, Diptera, Muscidae. The transcript has 3 exons. The record is from RefSeq and is a predicted model, not a curated record.
UCUAGUUCAUCGUCCCGCAGUUCAUCAAGGAGUUCAUCUAGCAGCAGCAGUAGCUCUGGAUCCUCACGUUCGGGCACCCGCUCACCCUCAAUACCACGACGAAGGGGUUCACCCAGCUUCCUAGAUCGUCGACGUAUUACUAGCCGUCGUACAUCACAUGCUCGUGAACGCAGAAGAUAUUGAUUUCAUUAAAUU